This 428-nucleotide ribosomal RNA is filed under the name uncultured archaeon. Its description in RNAcentral is "bacterial SSU rRNA". It matches the Rfam family "Archaeal small subunit ribosomal RNA", at positions 474 to 903 of the family's 1478-position model. The record is from RNAcentral.
UACCAGCUCUCCGAGUGGUGUGGAUGUUUAUUGGGCCUAAAGCAUCCGUAGCUGGCUGGGCAAGUCCCCUGUUAUAUUCAGCGACCUAAUCGUUGAGCCGCGGGAGACACUACUAGGCUAGGAGGCGGGAGAGGCCGACGGUAUUCUCGGGGUAGGGGUGAAAUCCUAUAAUCCCGGGAGGACCACCAGUGGCGAAGGCUGUCGGCUAGAACGCGCUCGACGGUGAGGGACGAAAGCUGGGGGAGCGAACCGGAUUAGAUACCCGGGUAGUCCCAGCUGUAAACGAUGCGGGCUAGGUGUUGGGGUGGCUACGAGCCACUUCAGUGCCGCAGGGAAGCCAUUAAGCCCGCCGCCUGGGGAGUACGGCCGCAAGGCUGAAACUUAAAGGAAUUGGCGGGGAGCACCACAAGGCGUGAAGCUUGCGGUUC